RNAcentral lists this ribosomal RNA (497 nucleotides) under uncultured bacterium. Its description in RNAcentral is "partial 16S ribosomal RNA". It matches the Rfam family "Bacterial small subunit ribosomal RNA", at positions 28 to 507 of the family's 1533-position model. The record is from RNAcentral.
GACGAACGCUGGCGGCGUGCCUAAUACAUGCAAGUCGAGCGAUGAAGCUUGGUGCUUGCACCAAUUUGAAGAGCAGCGAACGUGUGAGUAACGCGUGUGGAAUCUGCCUUUGAGCGGGGGACAACAUUUGGAAACGAAUGCUAAUACCGCAUAACAACUUUAAACAUAAGUUUUAAGUUUGAAAGAUGCAAUUGCAUCACUCAAACAUGAUCCCGCGUUGUAUUAGCUAGUUGGUGAGGUAAAGGCUCACCAAGGCGAUGAUACAUAGCCGACCUGAGAGGGUGAUCGGCCAAACUGGGACUGAGACAAGGCCCAAACGCCUACGGGAGGCAGCAGGAGGGAAUCUUGGGCAAGGGACGAAAGUCUGACCGAGCAACGCCGCGUGAGGGAAGAAGGGUGUCGGAUCGUAAAACUCGGUUGGUAGAGAAGAAAGUUGGUGAGAGUGGAAAGCUCAUCAAGUGACGGUAACUACUCAGAAAGGGACGGCUAACUACGUG